Molecule: ribosomal RNA, 1001 nt
Filed under: uncultured organism
Description: bacterial SSU rRNA
Rfam family: Bacterial small subunit ribosomal RNA
Source: RNAcentral
GCUAGUUGGUAGGGUAACGGCCUACCAAGGCAGAGACGGGUAGGGGGCGUGAGAGCGCGGACCCCCACACUGGCACUGCGACACGGGCCAGACUCCUACGGGAGGCAGCAGUAAGGAAUAUUGCGCAAUGGACGAAAGUCAGACGCAGCGACGCCGCGUGGGCGAUGAAGGCCUUCGGGUUGUAAAGCCCUUUUAUGGGGGAAGAGAAAAAGGACGGUACCCCAUGAAUAAGUCCCGGCUAACUACGUGCCAGCAGCCGCGGUAAAACGUAGGGGACAAGCGUUAUCCGGAUUCACUGGGCGUAAAGAGCGUUGAGGCGGUUCCGUAAGUUGGGCGUGAAAGCUCCGGGCUUAACCCGGAGAUGUCGUUCAAUACUGCGGGGCUUGAGGACAGCAGAGGAAGGUGGAAUUCCCGGUGUAGUGGUGAAAUGCGUAGAUAUCGGGAGGAACACCCGUGGCGAAGGCGGCCUUCUGGGCUGUUCCUGACGCUGAAGGCGAAAGCUAGGGGAGCGAACGGGAUUAGAUACCCCGGUAGUCCUAGCUGUAAACGAUGGAUGCUGGGUGUGGGGGGUGUAAAUUCCCUCUGUGCCGAAGCAAACGCGUUAAGCAUCCCGCCUGGGGACUACGGCCGCAAGGCUAAAACUCAAACGAAUUGACGGGGGCCCGCACAAGCAGCGGAGCGUGUGGUUUAAUUCGAUGCUACACGAAGAACCUUACCUGGGUUUGACAUGCACGUGGUAGGGAACCGAAAGGGGACCGACCUUCGGGAGCGUGCACAGGUGCUGCAUGGCUGUCGUCAGCUCGUGCCGUGAGGUGUCGGGUUAAGUCCCGUAACGAGCGCAACCCUUGCCCUUAGUUACAAGUGUCUAAGGGGACUGCCCGGGACAACUGGGCGGAAGGUGGGGAUGACGUCAAGUCAGCAUGGCCUUUAUAUCCAGGGCUACACACACGCUACAAUGGCCAGUACAAUAGGUAGCCAAGUCGUGAGACGGAGCCAAUCCU